CUGGAAAUGAUGGAUAGCAUGACAUUUGAUUCUUAAUGAUUUUUAAUGUGCUCAUACUGUCUGAUCUGG
Erpetoichthys calabaricus (reedfish) is the source of this 69-nucleotide small nucleolar RNA. The record is from Ensembl. Lineage: Eukaryota; Metazoa; Chordata; Cladistia; Polypteriformes; Polypteridae.